Molecule: ribosomal RNA, 641 nt
Filed under: Micromonospora sp. I15A-00839
Lineage: Bacteria; Bacillati; Actinomycetota; Actinomycetes; Micromonosporales; Micromonosporaceae
Description: bacterial SSU rRNA
Rfam family: Bacterial small subunit ribosomal RNA
Source: RNAcentral
GAACGGGUGAGUAACACGUGAGCAACCUGCCCCAGGCUUUGGGAUAACCCCGGGAAACCGGGGCUAAUACCGAAUAUGACCUUGCACCGCAUGGUGUUUGGUGGAAAGUUUUUCGGCUUGGGAUGGGCUCGCGGCCUAUCAGCUUGUUGGUGGGGUGAUGGCCUACCAAGGCGACGACGGGUAGCCGGCCUGAGAGGGCGACCGGCCACACUGGGACUGAGACACGGCCCAGACUCCUACGGGAGGCAGCAGUGGGGAAUAUUGCACAAUGGGCGGAAGCCUGAUGCAGCGACGCCGCGUGAGGGAUGACGGCCUUCGGGUUGUAAACCUCUUUCAGCAGGGACGAAGCGUAAGUGACGGUACCUGCAGAAGAAGCGCCGGCCAACUACGUGCCAGCAGCCGCGGUAAGACGUAGGGCGCGAGCGUUGUCCGGAUUUAUUGGGCGUAAAGAGCUCGUAGGCGGCUUGUCGCGUCGACCGUGAAAACCUGGGGCUCAACCCCAGGCCUGCGGUCGAUACGGGCAGGCUAGAGUUCGGUAGGGGAGACUGGAAUUCCUGGUGUAGCGGUGAAAUGCGCAGAUAUCAGGAGGAACACCGGUGGCGAAGGCGGGUCUCUGGGCCGAUACUGACGCUGAGGAGCGA